GUGCACGCUGGCGGUAGGCCUAACCCAUGCAAGUCGCACGGCAGCACAGUAAGAGCUUGCUCUUACGGGUGGCGAGUGGCGGACGGGUGAGGAAUACAUCGGAAUCUACUUUUUCGUGGGGGAUAACGUAGGGAAACUUACGCUAAUACCGCAUACGACCUACGGGUGAAAGCAGGGGAUCUUCGGACCUUGCGCGAUUGAAUGAGCCGAUGUCGGAUUAGCUAGUUGGCGGGGUAAAGGCCCACCAAGGCGACGAUCCGUAGCUGGUCUGAGAGGAUGAUCAGCUACACUGGAACUGAGACACGGUCCAGACUCCUACGGGAGGCAGCAGUGGGGAAUAUUGGACAAUGGGCGCAAGCCUGAUCCAGCCAUACCGCGUGGGUGAAGAAGGCCUUCGGGUUGUAAAGCCCUUUUGUUGGGAAAGAAAAGCAGCAGGUUAAUACCCCGCUGUUCUGACGGUACCCAAAGAAUAAGCACCGGCUAACUUCGUG
RNAcentral lists this ribosomal RNA (491 nucleotides) under uncultured bacterium. RNAcentral describes it as "partial 16S ribosomal RNA". It matches the Rfam family "Bacterial small subunit ribosomal RNA", at positions 29 to 507 of the family's 1533-position model. The record is from RNAcentral.